RNAcentral lists this ribosomal RNA (371 nucleotides) under uncultured bacterium. RNAcentral describes it as "bacterial SSU rRNA". It matches the Rfam family "Bacterial small subunit ribosomal RNA", at positions 527 to 898 of the family's 1533-position model. The record is from RNAcentral.
GUAGGGUGCGAGCGUUAAUCGGAAUUACUGGGCGUAAAGCGUGCGCAGGCGGUCUUGUAAGACAGUUGUGAAAUCCCCGGGCUCAACCUGGGAACUGCAUCUGUGACUGCAAGGCUGGAGUGCGGCAGAGGGGGAUGGAAUUCCGCGUGUAGCAGUGAAAUGCGUAGAUAUGCGGAGGAACACCGAUGGCGAAGGCAAUCCCCUGGGCCUGCACUGACGCUCAUGCACGAAAGCGUGGGGAGCAAACAGGAUUAGAUACCCUGGUAGUCCACGCCCUAAACGAUGUCAACUGGUUGUUGGGUCUUUACUGACUCAGUAACGAAGCUAACGCGUGAAGUUGACCGCCUGGGGAGUACGGCCGCAAGGUUGAA